Long non-coding RNA from Sebastes umbrosus (honeycomb rockfish), 577 nucleotides. RefSeq lists it as uncharacterized. NCBI's taxonomy places the organism in Eukaryota, Metazoa, Chordata, Actinopteri, Perciformes, Sebastidae. The record is from RefSeq and is a predicted model, not a curated record. The transcript is spliced from 4 exons.
AAGGCAGCAGGUGUAGUGGACGGCUAAUUAUACCAACAAUUACUGUUUACAACACGGAAAAAAUGGAUUAAUUACCACAGAAAACAUUCAAUGCAAGAUUCAUCAUCGUUAUGGAUUUAUUCUACAAAGUCUCCAGAAAGACCCUGCACUAGCUUCUCGGCUAAAAGCAGCCGUGACUGAGAGCUCCAGAGGAGGAAGAAGAAGAAGAGGAGGAAGGAGCUCCAGGAAACCGGAUCGUCCACUGAGCGGCGCCGCAGCCCGCAACUUCCCCUCCCAGCAGCCCAGCGAGCAGCUCAGCCAGCCGGCGCUUCCUCUCUCUGCAACCCGCUGCAGGGCCAAUCCGCUCACACUCACACUCACUCCGUGUUGGGUUACAAUGACAAGGGCCCUGUCUGAACCGCGACUUUUAGAAAGAUAAUAUUACAGGCCCACAGCUGAUCCAUCUCCCAGUGCACAAUCCAGACAGAGGAGGUUAAAGCACUCUGAACGCAUGGGACCAUAUUGCAGCUGAAGAUGCGCGACGGCUUCACAGUCCAAGAGGCCGUAACAUGAACAGCUAGAGAAGUCCAUAAAGGAA